Sarcophilus harrisii (Tasmanian devil) is the source of this 2401-nucleotide RNA transcript. It is a transcript of the gene named ATP synthase subunit alpha, mitochondrial pseudogene, with no coding region annotated. The transcript has a single exon. NCBI's taxonomy places the organism in Eukaryota, Metazoa, Chordata, Mammalia, Dasyuromorphia, Dasyuridae. The record is from RefSeq and is a predicted model, not a curated record.
UAACCAUUUAGAAAUGAAAGUACAAUCAACCCAGAGGCAGGGGCUAUACAGGAGUGCUGAUAAGGAGCUACAAAGAUGCUCUCCAUAAGAGUAGCCAUGGGCCUGGCCCAUCCCUUCCUCUGCCAAGCCAGGCUACUCUCCAAAAAUACCCUGGGGACAACCUUUAUUGCAGUAAGGAACAUCCAUACUUCUAAGCCUUCCAAGAUACUUUCUCUCUUUGAAUCAAAAGUUCUGGAAAAUGAGCCCGAAAUUCUUCCUCCUAUUGACCUUCAAGAAGCUGGGCGUGUCCUGACUAUUGGUGAUGGUAUUGCCCGUGUACAUGGAUUAAAGAAUGUUCAAGCAGAAGAAAUGGUGGAAUUUUCUUCAGGCAUAAAAGGGAUGUCCCUCAACCUGGAACCUGACAAUGUCGGUAUUGUUGUAUUUGGAAAUGACAAACUCAUUAAGGAAGGAGAUAUUGUAAAGAGGACAGGAGCCAUUGUAGAUGUUCCAGUUGGUGAGGAGUUGCUGGGCCGUGUUGUAGAUGCUCUGGGCAAUCCUAUUGACGGAAAGGGUCCAACUAAAGUCAAAGAACGUAGAAGAGUUGGUCUGAAAGCUCCUGGAAUCAUUCCCAGAAUUUCCGUGUGUGAACCUAUGCAAACUGGCAUUAAAGCCGUCGACAGUUUGGUACCAAUUGGCCGUGGUCAGCGGGAGCUGAUUAUUGGUGAUAGACAGACUGGAAAAACAUCAAUUGCCAUUGCAACAAUCAUUAACCAGAAACGCUUUAAUGAUGGAACUGAUGAAAAUAAGAAGUUAUAUUGUAUCUAUGUAGCUAUUGGUCAAAAAAGAUCCACUGUUGCCCAACUGGUAAAGAGACUUUCAGAUGCAGGUGCCAUGGACUACACCAUAGUGGUUUCAGCCACUGCUUCUGAUGCUGCCCCGCUUCAGUACCUGGCGCCUUAUUCUGGCUGCUCAAUGGGAGAGUAUUUCCGGGACAGUGGGAAACACGCUCUAAUAAUCUAUGAUGACUUAUCCAAGCAGGCAGUUGCCUACCGUCAAAUGUCUCUGCUGCUCCGUCGCCCACCUGGUCGGGAAGCUUACCCUGGUGACGUCUUCUACCUACACUCCCGUUUGCUAGAGAGAUCGGCUAAAAUGAGCAGCACUUUUGGUGGCGGCUCCUUAACUGCCUUACCAGUCAUUGAAACACAAGCUGGGGAUGUAUCUGCUUAUAUUCCCACCAAUGUCAUCUCCAUCACCGACGGACAGAUCUUUCUAGAAACAGAACUGUUCUACAAAGGUAUUCGCCCUGCCAUUAAUGUUGGUCUGUCUGUGUCUCGAGUUGGGUCUGCUGCUCAAACCAAGGCCAUGAAACAGGUGGCAAGCACAAUGAAGCUAGAGCUGGCUCAGUACCGUGAAGUAGCUGCUUUUGCUCAGUUUGGCACUGAUCUAGACCCUGCAACUCAACAAUUGCUGAAUCGUGGAAUACGGCUAACUGAGUUGUUAAAACAAGCCCAAUAUGCUCCCAUGGCAAUUGAAGAACAGGUGACAGUCAUCUAUGCUGGUGUAAGAGGAUAUCUUGACAAAAUGGAUCCCAUUAACAUCACCAAAUUUGAACGUACUUUUUUAGCUCAUGUAAUUGAGAGCCACCAGGCCCUCUUGAAUUGCAUCAAAAGUGAUGGAAUGAUCUCGGAAGAAUCUGAGAAGAAGUUGAAAAAAGUUGUCAACAGCUUCUUGGCUGAAUUUAAAGGUUAAAUUCCCAAAGAUGUGUACAACAUGCAGUUUGGUUCUGUCACAAUUUCUUCUACUGAUUCAGUCCUAUUCAAUAUAGAACUUAAAUUAUGCACUCAUGCACCCAAUAUACAAAAACUGAUUUCUAAAAAAUCAGGGCUCAUUAAGAACCAACAUUUCUUUAUGAAAAACACGUAACAGCAAACUACUGUAUUUUGUAUAUACUUACAAGUAUUUUGACAUACUUAGAAAAUUGGUUAGGACAGCAUCAUGAAUAAGGUACAUUUAGAUUGUUAGCAAAAUUUGACAAAAUAGCUCAUGUUUUGCUUGUUGAUGAGAGAGAAACAGUGAGUCAGACUAGAAAGGAAUGUAGUGACAUUGAUCUAAGGCCAGAAGAACAAGCAGAUCUAAAGAAUCAUCUAAACGGGUUGAUAUAAACUUGCAUAGAGAUCUCCAAAAAUUUUGUCUUUAGAUCUGUGCUGUUCAACAUUCUUAGCAAUGAUUUGAAAAUACAAAUGGCAUGCUCAGUAAUCCACAAGCAUAUUAUUAACUUGUAGUGUAUCAAGCAUUAGGGAUUUUUUUUUAAAGGAAGACAAUCACUUUUCUCAAGGAGCUUAUUUUAUUGGUGGUGAAUGAGUGCUAAGAAACUAGGAGGAAUAGCUAAUGUGUGAUAUGACAGAGGCAAACUCCCCAAAAU